Molecule: ribosomal RNA, 384 nt
Filed under: PAH-contaminated sludge bacterium PB-30
Lineage: Bacteria; Bacillati; Actinomycetota; Actinomycetes; Mycobacteriales; Tsukamurellaceae
Description: bacterial SSU rRNA
Rfam family: Bacterial small subunit ribosomal RNA
Source: RNAcentral
AGUCGAACGGUAAGGCCCCUUCGGGGGUACACGAGUGGCGAACGGGUGAGUAACACGUGGGCGACCUGCCCUGUACUUCGGGAUAAGCCUGGGAAACUGGGUCUAAUACCGGAUAUGACCUUCCCCUGCAUGGGGGUUGGUGGAAAGCUUUUGCGGAACAGGAUGGGCCCGCGGCCUAUCAGCUUGUUGGUGGGGUAAUGGCCUACCAAGGCGACNACGGGUAGCCGGCCUGAGAGGGCGACCGGCCACACUGGGACUGAAACACGGCCCANACUCCUACNGGAGGCAGCANUGGGGAAUAUUGCACAAUGGGCGAAAGCCUGAUGCAGCGACGCCUCUUGAGGGAUGACNGCCUUCGGGUUGUAAACCUCUUUCAGUUNGGAC